This 429-nucleotide ribosomal RNA is filed under the name uncultured archaeon. RNAcentral's name for it is "bacterial SSU rRNA". It matches the Rfam family "Archaeal small subunit ribosomal RNA", at positions 474 to 903 of the family's 1478-position model. The record is from RNAcentral.
UACCUGCAGCUCAAGUGGUGACCGCUAUUAUUGGGCCUAAAACGUUCGUAGCCGGUUUGGUAAAUGCCUGGGUAAAUCGUGUAGCUUAACUAUACGAAUUCCGGGUAGACUGCCAAACUUGAGACCGGGAGAAGUUAGAGGUAUUCCUGGGGUAGAGGUGAAAUUCUGUAAUCCUAGGGGGACCACCAGUGGCGAAGGCGUCUAGCUAGAAUGGGUUUGACGGUGAGGAACGAAGCCCUGGGGCGCAAACCGGAUUAGAUACCCGGGUAGUCCAGGGUGUAAACGCUGCUUGCUUGAUGUUAGUUGGGCUCCGAGCCCAAUUAGUGUCGGAGAGAAGUUGUUAAGCAAGCUGCCUGGGAAGUACGAUCGCAAGAUUGAAACUUAAAGGAAUUGGCGGGGGAGCAUAGCAACGGGUGGAGCGUGCGGUUU